AACGAACGCUGGCGGCAUGCCUAACACAUGCAAGUCGAACGAGACCUUCGGGUCUAGUGGCGCACGGGUGCGUAACGCGUGGGAACCUGCCCUUAGGUUCGGAAUAACUCCCCGAAAGGGGUGCUAAUACCGGAUAAUGUCUUCGGACCAAAGAUUUAUCGCCUUUGGAUGGGCCCGCGUUGGAUUAGCUAGUUGGUAGGGUAAAAGCCUACCAAGGCGACGAUCCAUAGCUGGUCUGAGAGGAUGAUCAGCCACACUGGGACUGAGACACGGCCCAGACUCCUACGGGAGGCAGCAGUGGGGAAUAUUGGACAAUGGGCGAAAGCCUGAUCCAGCAAUGCCGCGUGAGUGAUGAAGGCCUUAGGGUUGUAAAGCUCUUUUACCCGGGAUGAUAAUGACAGUACCGGUAGAAUAAGCUCCGGCUAACUCCGUG
Molecule: ribosomal RNA, 433 nt
Filed under: uncultured bacterium
Lineage: Bacteria
Description: partial 16S ribosomal RNA
Rfam family: Bacterial small subunit ribosomal RNA
Source: RNAcentral